UGGCUCUGUGGCGCAAUGGAUAGCG
This 25-nucleotide non-coding RNA is filed under the name Cricetulus griseus (Chinese hamster). The record is from RNAcentral. Lineage: Eukaryota; Metazoa; Chordata; Mammalia; Rodentia; Cricetidae.